This is a long non-coding RNA of Neofelis nebulosa (Clouded leopard), 1570 nucleotides long. RefSeq lists it as uncharacterized. Lineage: Eukaryota; Metazoa; Chordata; Mammalia; Carnivora; Felidae. The record is from RefSeq and is a predicted model, not a curated record. The transcript has 2 exons.
UGCAGUAUAUUGUCUAAUUGAAAAAUGCGCCACGUCAAUGCCGAGCUUGAAAUCUCGGCCUCCCUGAGGGCUACUCUCAACAAACAAUGUACACAUCUUCUGCACUGGAAAGAUUAGGCUUCUCCCCUUUCUCCGUUAUUAAUUCAGGCCAAUGCCAGAGUUUCCUUCCUUUGCCUUUCUCGGGUGACGUCACCCUACUGGAACUGUGGUCGGAGGUAACAAGUUCUCGAGUGAAAACUUCAGCGUGGGAGGGAAGGCGUCAGGGCCAGAGGGUGGGGGUUAGGCUGACGGCCUUGAGGGACAGCACUGGACCAAGCUCGAACCUUGUAGCGGGGAGAAGAGAGCCGGGGCUUCUAGCCGUGGAUGGUGGGAGAAAUCGUUGCUGACGAUAACACAACCUGAAACGGAGAGGGAUCUUGUGGGAAUGCAGCACUAGGGAAAGUCACAGAGGCUCGGGCUCAGAAAGCAGACCACUGAAAGCCAGAAGCACAGACAAAAUGGGAAGGGUGCACGUGCUUCUCAUCGCAGGGAGGACAGGGCUGUAGACACGGGGCCCAUGGCAGCCCUUGAGGGAGACUGGAAGGCAAGGAGAGAGCUGAUACAGACAAACCUAAGGAAGUGAUGGGGAGACCCCUCCCCCAAUUCUCCAUUAUGGAAAACAGAGAAGCACGGGCCGAUCUACAGAAGUGUGGGUCUAGAAGGUCCUUAGAGAUUUUUUCUAGUCUUUUACCUAUCCUCAUUCUGUGUUCCACUUGACCCCAGUGGCAUGAAAUCAGUCCUGUGUUUGUAGACUCUCUGUAGGAAAUAACUCGUAACCAAUGGGGCUUUUACCAGCCCUCACCGUCAGGAAGACCCCCCCCCCCUUGUAUCAGGAAAAAAAAAGCCUCUUUUCUCUUGUCCUGUCAUCACGGAAGAAGGAGGACACCUGGUCAUUACAGAAGAAGCCCAAUGAAUCGCUCAUUUAAUUUUUUGCUGGUUUAAUUGAGCUGUACCUCGCAUUUGCUGGAAACAGACUCCAGGGACUUCUCCAAGUUCUUUGAUUGCACUGGAAUCUUGAUGAAUCAACCUCUUCUUUGAAAUACGAGGACUAUUGCCCAAGAUAAGAAAACUGAAGCCCAGAGAGAUGAGAAGAUUUACCAAGCUACACCCGAGACCUAGGAUCCAAGGCUCUUUGCCAUACACACUCCUGCCUUGGAUGAAUGACAUUCUGGAAAUGCAACGGAUAACUAUUACUGUGGCAAGUAGUAUAGAGAAGGGACAUUAGAAACUGUGACAAGGGCAAGCCAGUUUGACUCGGCACGUUGCUUGAACCUGAGGCUUCCUGGAUGCUAAAUUGCAGGAGAUUACAUGUGUGGACUGAGCCCUGUUUUGGGGGAUUAAUCUCCUCGCCCACAAGAAAGUGAAGAACUCCGCCGUGCACAUUUAAGUACUACUAUUCAGGGAACUUGGAGAGGUCAUUUACCAAAUAGCUCCUUUACCCUUCCCACCAAGAAUUCACUACUUUAAUUGAGGGGAGUGGUUUUUUUGGAGAAUUGGCCGGCCCGACAUAAAGUGGCAUUGUAAACUUCAA